The sequence is a transfer RNA, 154 nucleotides long. It matches the Rfam family "tRNA". Rfam says of the family: Transfer RNA (tRNA) molecules are approximately 80 nucleotides in length. Their secondary structure includes four short double-helical elements and three loops (D, anti-codon, and T loops). Further hydrogen bonds mediate the characteristic L-shaped molecular structure. tRNAs have two regions of fundamental functional importance: the anti-codon, which is responsible for specific mRNA codon recognition, and the 3' end, to which the tRNAs corresponding amino acid is attached (by aminoacyl-tRNA synthetases). tRNAs cope with the degeneracy of the genetic code in two manners: having more than one tRNA (with a specific anti-codon) for a particular amino acid; and 'wobble' base-pairing, i.e. permitting non-standard base-pairing at the 3rd anti-codon position. The record is from Rfam.
GGUUCCAUGGCUCAGUUGGUUAGCGCGGUAUGUUGACAAACCCGAGCCGCAAUAAAGGAACACGUUCGCUGACUUGCAACCUACAGUCGUACUAAUACAGUACAAUCUGUACUAAGUAAUGCGAAGGUCGAGAGUUCGACCCUCUCUGGGACCA